UACGUAGGGCGCAAGCGUUAUCCGGAAUUAUUGGGCGUAAAGAGCUCGUAGGCGGUUUGUCGCGUCUGCCGUGAAAGUCCGGGGCUCAACUCCGGAUCUGCGGUGGGUACGGGCAGACUAGAGUGAUGUAGGGGAGACUGGAAUUCCUGGUGUAGCGGUGAAAUGCGCAGGUAUCAGGAGGAACACCGAUGGCGAAGGCAGGUCUCUGGGCAUUAACUGACGCUGAGGAGCGAAAGCAUGGGGAGCGAACAGG
Molecule: ribosomal RNA, 253 nt
Filed under: uncultured bacterium
Lineage: Bacteria
Description: partial 16S ribosomal RNA
Rfam family: Bacterial small subunit ribosomal RNA
Source: RNAcentral